Molecule: ribosomal RNA, 460 nt
Filed under: uncultured bacterium
Lineage: Bacteria
Description: partial 16S ribosomal RNA
Rfam family: Bacterial small subunit ribosomal RNA
Source: RNAcentral
CCUACGGGAGGCAGCAGUGAGGAAUAUUGGUCAAUGGACGAGAGUCUGAACCAGCCAAGUAGCGUGAAGGAUGACUGCCCUAUGGGUUGUAAACUUCUUUUGUAAAGGAAUAAAACGAGGCACGUGUGCCUUUUUGCAUGUACUUUAUGAAUAAGCAUCGGCUAACUCCGUGCCAGCAGCCGCGGUAAUACGGAGGAUCCGAGCGUUAUCCGGAUUUAUUGGGUUUAAAGGGAGCGUAGAUGGGUUGUUAAGUCAGUUGUGAAAGUUUGCGGCUCAACCGUAAAAUUGCAAUUGAUACUGGCAGUCUUGAGUACAGUUGAGGUAGGCGGAAUUCGUGGUGUAGCGGUGAAAUGCUUAGAUAUCACGAAGAACCCCGAUUGCGAAGGCAGCGUACUAGACUGUGACUGACAUUGAUGCUCGAAAGUGUGGGUAUCAAACAGGAUUAGAUACCCUUGUAGUC